Molecule: long non-coding RNA, 100 nt
Organism: Gavialis gangeticus (Gharial)
Lineage: Eukaryota; Metazoa; Chordata; Crocodylia; Gavialidae
Exons: 4
Source: RefSeq, a predicted model, not a curated record
GGGAAGCUGGGCUAUGGCCUUACUUUCAAUGGCUUGGCUUACUUCCCUGCAGAGAAAGAGGAAGUAAAAUAAGGGUAGGGAGGGGAAGGAUGUGCUUGCU